GUCGAACGGAGUUCAAUUGGGAGCUUGCUCCCGGCUGAACUUAGUGGCGGACGGGUGAGUAAUGCAUGAGCAACCUGCCUUCAGGAGGGGGAUAACAUCGGGAAACCGGUGCUAAUACCGCAUAGAGCAUUUUGCAGGCAUCUGCGAGAUGGGAAAGGAGCAAUCCGCCUGGAGAUGGGCUCAUGUCUGAUUAGAUAGUUGGUAGGGUGACGGCCUACCAAGUCUGCGAUCAGUAGCCGGACUGAGAGGUCGAACGGCCACAUUGGAACUGAGAUACGGUCCAGACUCCUACGGGAGGCAGCAGUGGGGAAUAUUGGGCAAUGGGCGAAAGCCUGACCCAGCGACGCCGCGUGAGGGAAGAAGGUCUUCGGAUUGUAAACCUUUGUCAACAGGGACGAAAACAAUGACGGUACCUGUGGAGGAAGCCACGGCUAACUACGUGCCAGCAGCCGCGGUAAUACGUAGGUGGCGAGCGUUAUCCGGAUUUACUGGGUGUAAAGGGUGAGUAGGCGGGAAGUCAAGUCAGAUGUGAAAUGCCGCGGCUUAACUGCGGAACUGCAUUUGAAACUGAUUUUCUUGAGAGUCGGAGAGGCAAUCGGAAUUCCUAGUGUAGCGGUGAAAUGCGUAGAUAUUAGGAGGAACACCAGUGGCGAAGGCGGAUUGCUGGACGACAACUGACGCUGAGA
Molecule: ribosomal RNA, 686 nt
Filed under: uncultured bacterium
Lineage: Bacteria
Description: bacterial SSU rRNA
Rfam family: Bacterial small subunit ribosomal RNA
Source: RNAcentral